UCUGAGUGGCCUAUAGAAUUUGCCAUUUUGUUGCCCACUCACCCAGUUUGGAGAGAUUUUUUAGAGCACCUCACAAUUGUUUUGGAUUUCACUACCCUAAAUAGUUUGGUAUCAUCUGCAAAUUUGGCCACCUCACUGCUUACCCCAACUUCUAGAUCAUUUAUAAAUAAAUUAAAAAGCACCAGUCUCAGUACAGAUCCCUGGGGGACCCCACUUCUUACUUAUCCAGUAAGUAAUCCCUACAGGAUAAAUACACAUGUGUAUAGACACUGAUCCAAAAGCAUGACUUUUCCACUAUGGGAACUGGCUGGGUUCCUGUGCAACUGUGGCAAUGUUUUUGAAAAGACAAUGAGGCUGUUCUUACAUGCAGCCUAAUCCAGGCUAAGGAAAUGUGUGUAAGAACUGCCAGGAUCGGACACAAUCCCAGUGGGGAAGCGCUGCCUAGCCCAGCUUUUCAUCUGGCUUUUAGCCAGGGUUAAAGGCACGAAUGUGCCCUUAACCUGGGCUCCAGGAUUGUGUGUUCACUCAGGCUGCGUUCAGCCCCAGCAGACACAGAGAUGAGCGUAUAGAGCUCCCAUCUCCUGGGGGAAUCCCCCAAUGCACCGCACAUGUUGUGUGGUGCUGUAGUGAUCAGCCACCUCUCCCCUAAAGAGUUAAACAGAAGUGAACCCUGUCCUGAUUGACAGGCUGGUGAACUCCAGGGCUCAGCCAAUCAGCACACCAGGUGGGUGGGACCUAGAGAGCCAUUUGGGGGAAGGAGAGGCUCUUUGUUAGAAGAAGUCAGGCUGGAGAAGCAUGAAUGGAAAUACUUUGUGAGGAGCAAUGGAGUUUUGCUCCCUCAUGGUCAAAGCUAGCUUGGAGAUUUCUCUCAUGGAAUGACCUCUGCAGCUCCUUGGAGGACAGGAGGACAGGAAACUUGAAUUCUCUUCCAGAGUUUGGGUGAGUUCAAAGCAAGGAAGCCAGGGCUUUGAGUGUCAGGCCUUUGUUCCAGGAGGAGUGGGAGGCAGUGAAUUUACCUGAGGAUCCCGAGGGCCAACUUUGUGAUCAGAGUGAGGAGGCACUCGGAGGGCAUGGUACAAGAGGCAGAGCAGAGUGAUGAAUCCCAGGAGGAACUCUUGCUGCUGGUGUUAUCUCCCAGGACAGGCAGGCAUGAGAAGCGGCAUGACCAAAUCAGGGAAUUGAGACAAAGCAGUCGCUUGCAGCAUGCACGAGACUAAUUGAAGGUGCCUGACUGGGUGGAGCACUGAUGGAUUCCAACUGACAACCUGCUAUAAAUUCUGCAACUUCACUCGUUAGACAGCCUUGAUACCUCCCUCUGUGACGCCUUGGACUCGGGAUCUCUGGAAUCUGCAGCUGGAUGAAAACCUAGUGCCUGACUAAAAGAAGUGUGGUAACCAGAGACAUCUCUUUGCCUGCUGCUGCGUCAUAAAUUGCGGAUGGCUCAUCGAGUCUGGAGUAUCCUUUGCCAGAAAGCUCAGCAGGGAUGAUUCAGCAUUUCAUGCAAGCUUGCUCUGAGACAAAGGCUAUAACCCACUACAGGUGCAUUGUGGGAUAUAUGGCAUUCUGUGCUGUGCCAUACAGCUCAGAUCAUCUGAGAGCAUGGUCUGCUCUCAUGGUCCAGCAACAUUUCAGCAAAUGUCUAAGGAGAAGGUGAGUUGAACCAGCCACCCUCCCCUCCCACCAAUCCAGUUUUGUGAAUGGCCCCAAUUUAUUAAAGUACUUCUCAAAAAUGAAUAUACAUAUACCUGUGUGUGUGUGUCCCCAUUUUUGAGAAGUACUGUAAUAAAUUGUCUGUCUGUCUAUCUAUCUAUCUAUCUAUCUAUCUAUCUAUCUAUCUAUCUAUGGGAGGGAGGUUCAGACAACACAUGGAACCAUGGU
Hemicordylus capensis (graceful crag lizard) is the source of this 1878-nucleotide long non-coding RNA. RefSeq lists it as uncharacterized. The record is from RefSeq and is a predicted model, not a curated record. The transcript is spliced from 3 exons. NCBI's taxonomy places the organism in Eukaryota, Metazoa, Chordata, Lepidosauria, Squamata, Cordylidae.